UACGGAGGGGACUAGCGUUGUUCGGAAUUACUGGGCGUAAAGCGCACGUAGGCGGAUUGUUUAGUCAGGGGUGAAAUCCCGAGGCUCAACCUCGGAACUGCCUUUGAUACUGGCAAUCUCGAGUCCGGAAGAGGUGAGUGGAAUUCCUAGUGUAGAGGUGAAAUUCGUAGAUAUUAGGAAGAACACCAGUGGCGAAGGCGGCUCACUGGUCCGGUACUGACGCUGAGGUGCGAAAGCGUGGGGAGCGAACAGG
RNAcentral lists this ribosomal RNA (253 nucleotides) under uncultured bacterium. Its description in RNAcentral is "partial 16S ribosomal RNA". It matches the Rfam family "Bacterial small subunit ribosomal RNA", at positions 524 to 776 of the family's 1533-position model. The record is from RNAcentral.